RNAcentral lists this ribosomal RNA (459 nucleotides) under uncultured bacterium. RNAcentral describes it as "partial 16S ribosomal RNA". It matches the Rfam family "Bacterial small subunit ribosomal RNA", at positions 338 to 795 of the family's 1533-position model. The record is from RNAcentral.
CCUACGGGAGGCAGCAGUGAGGAAUAUUGGUCAAUGGCCGGAAGGCUGAACCAGCCAAGCCGCGUGAAGGACGAAGGUGCCAAGCAUUGUAAACUUCUUUUGUCAAGGAACAAAAUCAGGCUCGAGAGCCUGACCGCUUGUACUUGAAGAAACAGCAUCGGCUAAAUCCGUGCCAGCAGCCGCGGUAAUACGGAGGAUGCGAGCGUUAUCCGGAUUUAUUGGGUUUAAAGGGUGCGUAGGCGGGCUGUUAAGUCAGCGGUAAAAGGCCGGGGCUCAACCCCGGCGAGCCGUUGAAACUGGCUGUCUUGAGACGGCGAGAGGUAUGCGGAAUGCGCAGUGUAGCGGUGAAAUGCUUAGAUAUUGCGAAGAACCCCGAUUGCGAAGGCAGCAUGCCGGCGGGGAUCUGACGCUGAGGCACGAAAGCGUGGGUAUCGAACAGGAUUAGAUACCCGUGUAGUC